RNAcentral lists this transfer RNA (69 nucleotides) under Apostichopus japonicus (Japanese sea cucumber). Its description in RNAcentral is "tRNA-Gly". It matches the Rfam family "tRNA". From Rfam's summary of the family: Transfer RNA (tRNA) molecules are approximately 80 nucleotides in length. Their secondary structure includes four short double-helical elements and three loops (D, anti-codon, and T loops). Lineage: Eukaryota; Metazoa; Echinodermata; Holothuroidea; Aspidochirotida; Stichopodidae. The record is from RNAcentral. RNAcentral also lists the same sequence under 1 other name.
ACCCUAUUAUUAUUGAAAUAUAUCUGACUUCCAAUCAGAAGACCUUGGUUAAAACCCCAAGAUAGUGUA